Molecule: ribosomal RNA, 477 nt
Filed under: uncultured soil bacterium
Lineage: Bacteria
Description: bacterial SSU rRNA
Rfam family: Bacterial small subunit ribosomal RNA
Source: RNAcentral
AGGACGAACGCUGGCGGCGUGCUUAACACAUGCAAGUCGAGCGGUAAGGCCUUUCGGGGUACACGAGCGGCGAACGGGUGAGUAACACGUGGGUGAUCUGCCCUGCACUUCGGGAUAAGCCUGGGAAACUGGGUCUAAUACCGGAUAUGACCUCCUAUCGCAUGGUGGGUGGUGGAAAGAUUUAUCGGUGCAGGAUGGGCCCGCGGCCUAUCAGCUUGUUGGUGGGGUAAUGGCCUACCAAGGCGACGACGGGUAGCCGACCUGAGAGGGUGACCGGCCACGACUGGGACUGAGACACGGCCCAGACUCCUACGGGAGCAGCAGUGGGGAAUAUUGGACAAGUGGGACGAAAGCCUGAUCCAGCAACGCCGCGUGAGGGAUGACGGCCUUCGGGUUGUAAACCUCUUUCAGCGCCGACGAAGCGAGAGUGACGGUAGGCGACAGAAGAAGCACGGCCAACUACGUGCCAGCAGCCGC